UUGCCCCUGGGUCCCACAGACUGCAUCAGGGCUCAUGAGCCCUCACCCAUGAAGACCGACUGCCAAGGGAAGAGCACGUUGUCAUCUCCCUAGCUGUCUCUUGUCCUUGCGCAGCCACAAGGCAGCGCCUCUACUGACACUUGCGGUGACGAGAGCUCAUUCUGUCAAAACCCGUGGUCUGGCUGACUGGCGCUUCCGGUCCAACUGGAAACAGGUUAAACCAUACGACACGUCACAGCUCAUCUUCCUUCAUUGGUCAGAGUAGACGUGGGUUCUGGUUCCGGUGGAGAGGCGUACGGCUUCCCAGGAAGCGGGUUCGCGCAUCUCGAGAAGGCAAAGGGGAUGCGAUCUCCCAGAAGACCCCUUUCCAUCAAAGACUGCUUCAGACUCUGAUCUCUCCGGAGCUCUACCCACUUGAGGGGUUAGGAGGCAGACCAUCACGCUCUGCUGGUGGCAUCUCCUAUGUAUCGGCUCAACCCUUCCCUUAGGUACGAGUCUACACAAGUACUUCUAAAGUGCAUUUUUCUGGCGUUAAAAACAGCAGUGCUCUCCAACAGCGAGUCCUGAAUCGGAGCACUGCUUCCUCCUUGGAGGGGCUGUGCAGUUCCAGACACCAAUCUUACGUCUCUUCGAAGCCACCCCAGCCGAUGGUUGAGAUGAGGCCAAGCGGCAAACGUCCUCUUCUUUUUAGUUCUGUAUCAACAUAUGCACCGACUUUGUACCAGGCAGCGCAACUCUUGAGAUUUUUCGUUACAAAUUAAAGGCGUCUGUUCUUUUUUGCGCAAUUCCUUCCUCCAAAGGAGAGAAACCUGCUGCGCGCAAUCAGGAACUCCAAACCCAUCUGCUUCUCCCCAGCUUUUAAAGCAGCGCUCUGCGGCCCGAAAAGACUGUUUAUUAGCACUUAAGGUGCUAAUAUGGGGAGCGAGACACCUGUGCGCGCCUUCCGCGCUCGGCACUAACUGUACGAACGCGCAGGGUUCGCUUGCGCCCGGGAGCAUUUCCAGGUUUCCUCUGGGCUCCGUCCCAGCCCACGCGCCUGGUGCUCGCGGGAGUUGCCGGCGCGCCGGGGAGCAAAACUUGAGCGGUGUUUGUUGUUGGAAAAGUUCUGCUCUCGGAACCGCCGGGAAAGUUUGAGCGCCUACGCGAGGCGGCGCAGCGGCCUCCGCAGCAGAGACCCGGGCCCCGGCUCCUCCCCAGGAUGCCCCGAGGGCACACUCGGGCCACGACUUGAAAACAAUAGAAGAUGAAGCCGCCAAAAGUUCUUCCCCUAAAAAGGCACCCUCUCCCCAGGGCACGGUUUGCAGUUGGGUCUGCAAACCUCCUGCUCCCUGUAUUUUACGGAUCAGCGAAGCACCCCAAGUUAUUCAUGGGUGGUGGGGUGUGCCGAUGGCUGCCUUCUGUCUUCUACCCUACAUUCUCUUUUCCACAACCGACGUGUGCGCGGAAAGGCUCAGCACUAAUUGCGCAAGGAAAACGCUGCAAAUUACGCAAAUUUACGCAGAGCGCCUGUGGCUCGAAACCUCUCCGGAGCCGGGGUAGCACCCCAGGUUGACACCUUGGGAUGAGCUCUGUCUUGGCGGAUGCAAAACCACCCUGAUUGCUCACCUGUUCGGGCUUCUGAAGAUCCCAAGACUCUGAGCCGACCUCACCUCCAAGAGAACGGAGGAGGUGCGCUUGGGACAACCUGGGGAGGUCGGGCUUUUUUUUCUGGAAGGUGUGCCUGCCGAAAUGUCUGCAGUCCAGCUAAGCCGAUUGCUGCUGCUCGUCUCCCCUGGCGCUUCCAACUUCUGUUCGGCGCAGCGGUGGCGGCAGUUCUGGGCUCGCAGCGCACUCGGCUCCGGCGUGAGGGCCCCGCGGCGGAACAGGUGCCAGGCUCACUGCCCCAGGGAAUAAGUGAGUGAUCCAGAGGACACGGCAUCUCGAAACCAGUCUCCACGGCACGUCCUGACUCCGGAAACAAAGGUGUCUUGCAGCUCAGCCUCUUUGGAGUGUUCAUCUAGACCUCUGCUCAAGAUGGCUGUCUACUGAGUACUUGAAGAAGGUGACCCUGUGCCUGCUAAUCCUUCUCACCAUGAGUUCCAGGCCAUUCCAGGCUACAUCACCGCAGUCCUGCAUGACAAGGAGAGCAUGUAACGACAUCAACCUUCACUACCCCAGUCUGCCCACGUGUUCUCCGAUGGAUCCACGGUCAGAUAAUCUUUUGACAGUAUCCAGAAGUACAGAAGCUACAACAAACAAAUCUGUACAGUUGGGAGGAACAAUAGAGCAGGGACCCAGCAGAACCAUUCUGACCCCGCCGUGUGCCAACAGAGCCCAUGCAGGACAACAGUUGCACCGCCCUCCUCCUCCCGGCUCACUUCUCACACAGUAAUUCUCUUCCGGUCACUCCAAAACCAGACUACCGAGUAAGUACGUGGAUCAGCUCAAUCAGAGGAAAAGACGCUGUAGCUGGAUUGCAGGGAAAAAAAUUAGAUUUACAGGUUUUGAUGCUUCCAAUAUUUUACCUAUGUUACAAAAUAUAGAAAUCUUGCCGUGAAAAGCCCAUGCUAAGAUAAAUAUCACCAAUAAGAUGGAGCUAUAGUAAUAAAGUCAUAUUAAAUUAUGAUCCAUACACAGCUACCCUUAUCAAGGAGGAAUAUUUGUAAAAACCCAACUUACUCAUUCUUACUUUUAAAAAUAGUCUUGUUUAUAAAACAAAAACGAAAAAAAAUCAAUUCUGCAGAUUCACUUUUCAUAAAUACAGAAGUGUGACAAAAAUACAAUUUGCCAUUGAUCGAUGAAGUCAGAAUGCUGGCCUGAAAACAGGGAAAGUGCUCACUUUUUUACAUGGCCCAGAUUCAACCAGUGUUCCCAAAUCAUUUUAUGUAAAAUGACCACGUUCUGCAUAUUCUGGGAUAUUCACACACGAUAAUGGAAAGACUACAGCCAAUGCCAAAACAUACUCUGGGAUUCCACAACAUUGUUAUGGAAAGAAGAUGCGUGGAUGUAUCAGGCCAUCCUACCAUUGCUAUAAACGUAUACCAUACGACAGCAAGCUGCCAGUGUGCUUAACAGCAAAAACUAUCAGAAGCAGGGACACAGGUGGCCGGUGAACUUUCACUGCAAAGCACUGAUAAGGACAGAGGUAUGUCAAAAUAAUACUGCAUUCAUGGUAAACGUUUUCAGGGAUCACAGCAAGAAGCGGGACAAAGUACACAGGGUCAUAAUCAAUGCACUGCAUUGAGUUCUAUUUGCUGAAAUAAAGUAACAUUCUCGCAGCUAAAAUAAAAAUACGUUUUACAAUAGAAGUCUCAUUUAACAUUUAACAUAGAAUUGUCUUCUUUUUGUAAGUGGAAAACAUAACUGUAUCAAGUACCUCUAUGAAUUAAAUUCCCUUUUAUUACUGAUAAGACUGAAGCUUAAAGGUCUACGUUGUUGUUUUUAAUAAGUUAAAGAUUUAUUAAUCACUCUUCCAGCAAAACAGAUGUACGUAGGAGGCACGGCAAAGACCCAAGACAAGGGCCUUGGUCACUCUCACCCCUGCUCUUCUCACGUGGACGAGGCGAGUGUCUAUGAGACACAGGAGCCGACUUGACAACCCGCUGUGGUCCAGGAAAUUCUGCCACUUGUUUGGAAAACAAAUCAAGCGUUGCUGGCGUUGCCUGCAGCCGGUGGACGUGAAUUACUUAGCGAAUCUGGUACAGACACAUCUUUAAAAUUAGAAAAUCAGUCCUUCUUACUAAACAGAUGUGGCAACGGAGUAGGGAAUAUUGGUUAGAAGGGGCAGCCGAUUUCUAGCUGGCCCACAGUGCAUGCAGAUUUUAGUCUAGGCUUGUAUGGAAGUCUUUUUCCCCCCUGUAGCUGCUUCCUACUGGUCUGUAUGCUCAUGAUCAGGGAAGCUGAUGGCAGAUUCCUGGCCUGCUGGCAGGCUUAGUGUCGGAGGAGCAAGGUUACUGUAGGAUGGGGCUGCCAUGAGUGUAGGAAUAGCCAGACCAUUAUCACGGGAUAGGGGAAAGGCUGGAAUGUGGCCAGACAGGAAAGCACUUGGACAUUAUUUCUGGUUCCCACAGGAUGAGGUCUGGAGCAGUAAUUAUUGUUGGAAUUGAAAAUCAUCAUUUCAACAUCCAGAUGAGAACAGCAAAGCCUUUCAGAAUAAAAUUCAAACUCCAGAGUUGGCUCGCUAUCUUCCUAGUAGAAUAAAAUUACAGUCUCCUGGAUUCUUCCUUUAAGGAACUGAGGUUUUGGGAUGUUCAUAAUGGAACUAAAAGAGAACAGGUUCUCGAAAGAAGGCAAAAUACGAUUAAACCCUGUUUAGGUUCUGCGCAGAAGGCCAUGCGUUUAUUUUUAUUCUCUUGGAGCCAAUGAGGUCGGCCACUUAGCAUCAUUUUAGGAAGGCCAACUCAGCUUGUAUGACUUUCAUGUUACAAAGCUAAGGAGGUAGGAAAGAGGAACAUUCUUCACUAUCAAAUUGCUCACAUCUUCCCAUUAAGUCAGGCACCAUGCCUGGCUAAACAAGAUGGUUAGCAAGAUGAUAAAAGUACUAAAUUAUUGGCAUUAAAGAUUCAAAGGGGACAUAUCAGCAUUUUUCCUGAUAAUGAUACUUUGCCUUCCAAACUACAACAAUUAGAACUAAUUUCUUUCUAAAGAAAUAAUUUCUAGCUAAUUAAAGACCAGGCUGGCCUUCAUAGUCUUACUUAUCCAGAAAUUACUCAUACUCAAAUUACUCAAAACAGAAACCUUCUGAGCUAAAUGUUAUUACAUCUCUGAUCACCAUGCAUCUGAGCAACACUAUUUAUAUGUUUUAUAAGGUAGGAAAAUAAAAACGCCACCCAGUGUUUAUACAGUAUUCUCAACUUGCUUCCUUUCACUUACUGAACGGAUCUGUAAAUUAGCGUAGAUAAUUUGUGGUUCAUUUUAUCCGUGAACGAGCCACUGCCACGGGUUGUCCGAAAACACACAGGACGAAAACACACAGGGCGCACAGGGCACACUGCCACGGGUCUUCCGAAAACACACAGGGCACACAGAAAUGCCCUGAUCUCUCCAACAUCUCAGAGACCAACUCACUGACCUUGCUAUAUACGUACAGUGAAGGAAAGAGCCUCACAGUUGAAGUAAAAGAGUCUGGAACCAGAGCUCUAGUGUCCUGUAAAUACCCAGACAUCUCCGUCUGUCUUAUGUGCUGUCACACAGAUAAUGCAGUGCCUAGCUGUCUGUGGUGCAUACCCUCUGUGAUGGCCCCCUGCCCAUGAUCCCUGCCUCCUGGAAUUCAUACUCUUGUCUAAUCCCUUCCCCUGGAGUAUGGGCUGGACCUAGUGGCUUCCAACAAAUAGCAAUUGAAUGUCACUUCUGAGAUGAGGUUACAGAGAGACUGUAUCUUUCAUGUUGGGGGCUCUUGCUUGCUCUGAGGGAAGCCAGCUGCCAUUUUUGAGCUGCCCAUGGGGAGACUCACGUGGCAGGGCACUGAGGGGGUCCCCCGGCAAACAGUCAGCAAGAAAGGGCUCCAGUCACAAGGCCUCUGAGGAACUGAAUCCGGCCGACAACCUUGUGAGUGAGUGUGGAAGUGGAUGCUCCCCUAGAGAGCAUGGCCAUCAGUUCAACCAUAGCCUCAUUCUAGACCUUGAACCAGAGGCACCCAACUAAGCCACACCUGAUUCCUGAUCACAGCAGCUGUGAGAUAAUAAAUCUCUAUUGUUUUAAGCCUACAACUUUUGGGGCGAUUGGUUACUUGGUGAUUGGUCACUAAUACAUCAAGAAAAACAAGGGAUCAGGGUGGGAAUGGGCUUGCCCAGAAGCAAGGCAGUUCAGGAGUCCGGAACUAGAAUGAGCUGUAAGAGAAAGAACAGAACGCAGAGGAUAGGGCUGGUGUGGGAGGCCCCGUGCAGCUGUGGACGCAGUGUGGACAAAUGGCUAAGACAGACUGUGGGCUCUGGAUCAGCCUGCCUGGAUUUCAGUCCGGUUUCACGUUACCUCUUCACAUCGGUUAUUUUACCCCCUUAAGCGUCCACAGUCUCAUCUGUAACCUGAGGCCCCUAACAACCCCCACCUCACAGAGAUAACACACGUAAAGUGUGUAGAGCACUUCCAGGCACAGAGUGAGGGUUCUAGCAGUUACAGAUGGGGCUGCCUUCGCUAGACCCUCCCCCCCCCCCCCUGCCAAAAGAGGGUCCGUCCCCUCAGUGGGUUGGGGAGAAAGGUUAUGAAUCCUAAUGCAUUCACCAUCCCAGGCAGAUAGGGGUUGUGGAGGACGUGCCGAGGGGGUGUUGGCUUACUUCUUGAGGUGGAUCAUCAGGUACCGGAGGGUCUCAUAGUGGGCAGGAGGCAGCAGCAUCAGCACUUCAUGGACGGCUUCCAGCCUCUCGUCUGCAUUGGAGAUUUCUGUAACGGCCCAUAUGAGGCAUUAGUGCAGUGCUGAGACAUUCGCGUUUUCAGAGAAGUAACCAGAAGACUGGUUUGUUCUGGUUGGAGAUGGAGGGGAAGUCUAAGAAGUUCAUGCAAUUUCAGGUAACAUUUCACUUAAACUAAGCGACUCGUUGGUGUCUUGCCUUAUUCCAGAAAGGCCUGGAGGUUGGGAACCACACAGGUAUUCAGUGUGCACUGGGUGGGGGACAGGAGGCCGGACCUGAAGUCUGCAGUCGGGUACGUGUUUCCUGGUGGCAGGAACGGCGCUUUGCCCGUCCUCUGAAAGCUGGGUUUACGAGAGAGCUCGCUGUCACGAGCUUUGAUUUAAGCCGGAUCGCCCGUGGUAGUGUUCUCUUGAGGUUGUCUGACAGUGUCUUCCUGGCAGGCUUCCAUAACUGAAUACAGUCAACAACACAAGGGCACUGGCCGAUGAGCCCGACAGCUCAGCCUGCACCAAUGGCACUUUUCACCCAAGCGCUGACGUGGCUAACCCCGCUGGACAGUCCAGGCUCGUGACGUUUCUUCUUUCUUGGUUCUGUCUCCUCUGCCCCUAGGACUUUAAUCUGGGAAACUCUGACCUUCCUUCAUGUAUAGGUAAUGUUAUGUUUUAACCUUUUUUGCAAUCAUUCUUUUUUUCUUUUUUGAGCGAGUGCGUGCAAGCUGGGGAGGGAAGAGUCAGACGCUCAACUGACUGUGCCACCCAAGUGCCCUUCUGACAAUCAUUCUGAAGACACUUUUUGACUUAAAGUUACAAUCAUUUCGAGACAAUUAGCAUUUUCGUUUACUUAGAGAACCGAAAGAACAAAUGUCUCAUCACAUUUGGUUCUGAGGAUAAAAAAAAAAGCUGCUAAGGAACAGAAAACAGGGAAUGUAGCAGAUAUAUCACCUGAUCCCAUUAUUUACAGAUUUAACAAAUAUCUACUGAGAAUCUGCCAUGUGCUAGGCACUGUCAGGCCCUGGGGAGUCACAGAGAAAAAGACACAUAUUCCCUUUCUGUAGGUCUAAGUUGGAGUGGGAGUCAGGCAUGCAACUCAGUAGUUACAAGGAAGUGGGAAGCUUGCUCGGCUGGAGGCAUGUGAAAACAUGGGGGUGGGUGGGGCCCAGGAAAGGGCAGUCAGACUCUUAGGUCAGCAUGGGGUGCUCAGGGAGGAUUCAUGGAAGAGGAAACCCUUGAGCUGACACCUGAUUAAUAGGUAAGCGUUUGCCAGGCAGAGGUGCGAACGCAUUCUAGAUGGACAGAACCACGUGAGUCAAGGCAGUUGUUCGUGAAAACAGGUGCACUUCAGUAUUGCUGGGGCAUAAAGUAUACAGGGAGGAGCAACCGGCCAUGAGCCUGAACAGAUAUGGCAGCCGGAUCAUCAGAGACCUUGUCUGUUCUACAGAGAGAAGGUUCUCUCUGGUAGGCUAGGGGUUCCAGCCGUUGACUGGCUUGACUACAAUUAUUUGGACUGUUCGGUAGAAAUGUAGAAUGAAAACGUAGUUCAGAAAGAAACGUGCACCCCCACGUGGACUGCAACGUUGCUCACAAAAGCCCAGACACGGAUGAACAGAUAAAGCAGAUGUGGCUUACAGCAAAAGGAAUAGUAUUCAGCUAUAAAAAAAGAAUGAAAUCUUGCCAUUUGUGGCAAUGCAGAUGUGCCCUGAGGGGAUUAGGCUGUGUGAAAUAAGACAGAGAAAGAGACACCCUAUGGUCUCUCUCAUACGCGGGAUAUAAACCAAACCAAAUCAAAACUAAGCUCAUAGAUACGGAGAACAGAUUGGUGAUUGGAGGAGACGAGCAGUGAGGGGUGGGAAAAAUGGGUGAACGGUUUUUUGUUGUUGUUUGUCUGUUUCAGUAGAAUGAAUAAAAAUUAAUAAUCUAGAUUCAUGGGUUCACCUAGCUUUCUCAGUGCGUCCCCAGGGUGGACCGUGGCGAUCCGUACUUUUAACAAGCUCCCAAGUUCUCCGACCUAAGAGAGAAUGUGGCCUAGAGAACAUUUGUCACAAUUAUAAACAACAAAAGGGGUUACCUCCUAAACUUCCACUGGCUUCCCCUAUUUCAGUGUUGGGCACAUCCGCAUCCCUAUGCUCUGUUCUUUGGAGUUUUGGGAGAAAGAGAAGAGCCACUGAGAUCCUUGGCUGGGGAUGUAGAGGGACAGCCUGGUGCCAUGUGGACUGUCUGUGAAUGUUGGACAUCAAAUCAAGAGCCAUAAUGGCACCAAAUGCUGGCUGCCCAUUCAAGAAAGAUUUUAAACUCGUGGGAUCACUAGUCCACAACUUUUAAGGAAACCCUUCCCCCAGCAAGGCAGAGAACUAUGUGAUCUGUAAACGACUACUCCUUGGUUUCUUGAGCAACAACUCUCUGUAGCUCUGAAACCCAUUCCCACCAUGAAUAAAAUGUGGUUCCAAAAGAAAGGGAGCUAAGGAUGUGUCACUUGGCGUUCAAGAAAGACAAAGCCCACCUCUGUCAAAUGCCAUUUUGACAUCUUCAAUGUGUUCGGUGAACCCAGAGACUCUGUAAAGACCUUCCGACUUCAAUCCUGUGGGGGAAAAGGAAACAGAGAGACUUUAACUUCCCGAAACAUCUACAGAGGACUCUAAUUUCAUAUAUACACCGUGUGCUAUAAAUGAGAAAAAUACAGUCAGUGCUCUUGUACAUUACACACUGUCACACUGAACGAUGCUGUCGCCGGACCUGCCCGUCUCAGUUUCCAGGCAACUCUGUCUUCGUUUGCUUGCGCUGCAGUGGAAACCUCCCAGGGAUCUGGUCUUCUUCCUGCCUGGCUUCACAAAGUGAACCCCUGUUUCAGAUUCUCAUCAACCUUGGUGCUUCCUUUGUUCAUCAGACUUGUGGAUUUGAUUUCACUGCUUCAGGCGGCAACCCGCUGUCUCCCCAGCAUCAUCUUAACCCAUGUGCCAUACUGCGUGCAGUGCUGUGCUAGGUAUACAUACAUCCACGGGCACCUCUGUGUGAUAUAUAUUGUCCUGAUUUUAUUGAAAUGGUCUAAAUUUUAUAGCCUUUUGUGUUGAAUCAUAAAUAUCAUAUGUUCAAUGUUUAACUAAAUAUGAUCGAUUUCAUCGUUAUACCUUCAAAUAAAGGAUCAUACGCACA
Molecule: long non-coding RNA, 9472 nt
Organism: Prionailurus viverrinus (fishing cat)
Lineage: Eukaryota; Metazoa; Chordata; Mammalia; Carnivora; Felidae
Exons: 9
Source: RefSeq, a predicted model, not a curated record